RNAcentral lists this ribosomal RNA (1021 nucleotides) under Pleosporales sp. JG-2019e. RNAcentral describes it as "SSU rRNA". It matches the Rfam family "Eukaryotic small subunit ribosomal RNA", at positions 68 to 1102 of the family's 1831-position model. Lineage: Eukaryota; Fungi; Ascomycota; Dothideomycetes; Pleosporales. The record is from RNAcentral.
AGCAGUAUACUGCGAAACUGCGAAUGGCUCAUUAAAUCAGUUAUCGUUUAUUUGAUAGUACCUACUACUUGGAUAACCGUGGUAAUUCUAGAGCUAAUACAUGCAAAAAACCCCGACUUCGGAAGGGGUGUAUUUAUUAGAUAAAAAACCAAUGCCCUUCUGGGCUUUAUGGUGAAUCAUGAUAACUUAACGAAUCGCAUAGCCUUGAGCUGGCGAUGGUUCAUUCAAAUUUCUGCCCUAUCAACUUUCGAUUGGUGAGUAGUGUUCACCAAUGGUAUCGACGGGUAACGAAGAAUUAGGGUUCGAUCUCGGAGAGGACGCCCGAGAAAUGGCGUGCACAUCCAAGGAAGGCAGCAGGCGCGCAAAUUACCCAAUCCCGAUUCGGGGAGGUAGUGACAAUAAAUACUGAUGCAGGGCUCUUUUGGGUCUUGCAAUUGGAAUGAGUACAAUUUAAAUCCCUUAACGAGGAACAAUUGGAGGGCAAGUCUGGUGCCAGCAGCCGCGGUAAUUCCAGCUCCAAUAGCGUAUAUUAAAGUUGUUGCAGUUAAAAAGCUCGUAGUUGAAAUUUGGGCCUGGCUGACCGGUCCGCCUCACCGCGUGUACUGGCUCGGCCGGGCCUUUCCUUCUGGGGAAGCUCAUGGUCUUUAUUGACUGUGUGGGGAACCAGGACUUUUACUUUGAAAAAAUUAGAGUGUUCAAAGCAGGCCUUUGCUCGAAUACAUUAGCAUGGAAUAAUGGAAUAGGACGGCUUUCCUAUUUUGUUGGUUUCUAGGAGAGCCGUAAUGAUUAAUAGGGACAGUCGGGGGCAUCAGUAUUCAAUUGUCAGAGGUGAAAUUCUUGGAUUUAUUGAAGACUAACUACUGCGAAAGCAUUUGCCAAGGAUGUUUUCAUUAAUCAGUGAACGAAAGUUAGGGGAUCGAAGACGAUCAGAUACCGUCGUAGUCUUAACCAUAAACUAUGCCGACUAGGGAUCGGUGGAUGUUACUAUUUUGACUCCAUCGGCACCUUACGAGAAAUCAAA